AAGGGGUUAUACGCAGUUAUGAAGCAAAUAAAAGACGGGUUGUCAAGGAUUUAUUCUGAAGAAACUUCAGAAUAUUUUAAUUUGAAAAUUUUUGGCGGUUAUAAAAGCAUCCUUCAAGAACGUAACAAAAUUUUUUAUUUAUGAAAAUGUUGAUUAUAGAGCGCGCUGCAGGCGAUUUCUGGAACCUCCUUUAAAAAAAGACGAUUUACGGUGUACAUCGUAACUCAGGAUUGGAUUAUCUGAAAUCAAAAAACCAAACAAAUUUUGUUAAUAUAUUAGAUUAUCUAGUAAUUAAUCGUUCGGCUAAUCAAAAUAGUGAAUUUUCACAAAAUGGCAGCUUUUAAAAGAAAUGAUUUCGAUUUUUACGUUAAAAUUUGGCCGUAAAUUAAUUAUAAAAUGGAAAAUAAGUAUCAGAUUUACAAAAGGAACGAUUAAUUACUAGAAAAUGUAUCUUUAAAGAUUGAGUUAAAACGGUUGACCGAUCAAACAAGCCGUUUUCGAGAUAUCGUGUACACCGACUUGAAAAAUGCCGUUUUGAAAAAAACACGUUUAAAGUUUCAAUACCUACCUUAAAACGUGCCGAGGCAUCUCUACAUAUUUAGGUAUAACUCCGAAAGUAUUGCUUAGAUCUACUUCAAAUUUCGUGCGUAUACUUUUGAAUAUAUGUACAUUACAAAAAUGCAAUAAAAAAAAUCAAUUUUUUUGAAAGUCAUAACUGCGUAUAACCCCUUAACUAAAGGAUUUGUAUAAUGUCUAGAUGUCAUCUGGAUUCAACUGCAUUUUUGUGGUUUGAUAACUAUUUUCUCAUUUCGUAGCUUCACGCUGUGUGGCAAUAGCGCGCAGGUUAUGAAUCCUCUUGCUAUGCAACAUGUCACAAAUUAGAAAGUAUGCCCAGGCAACAAAACACAUGCCAGAUUUUCAAGCAGAUGAAGACAGUAUGUAAAAUUUCUAUACACCACUUGAAAACGUUUGAGUUCGCCACAUCUGAAUUCGCCUCGAUUUCGCCCGUCGCGUUUGUAAAUAUUUUUAUUUUGCCUGGAUAAUACUCGUAUAAAUCAAUUAUCCCUGAGCUGAGUGCAAAUAAAAAAAAACAUGAAUAAUAUUUCUAUUCAAAAACUACCUACCUCGGAAAAGAUGCUGGUAAAGACUGCUCGCAACUUUAUCCAGCUCUGUUUGGAAGGUCUCAUAGAGUCGUUAAAGGUUUCAUCGGGCAAGGUGGCGAUCCAACCGGUGCGCCAUUGGUGGAGAAUCCAUCUACGGGCAUCCAUUUAAAGACGAAUGCUAUUCCGACAAGGAUGAUCAUAGUUAAUAAUUUUUCUUCACCAUGGGCAAUGCAUCGGAACUGCAAAAUAAAAACAACAUGCAGAAAUUAGAAGAAGGCUUAAUAGAUCACAAUGCACGUCCAGGAAAUAUGUAUAAAGGAAAAUACAAAAAAUAGCGAAAAGGGAAGUACGGGUAACAUUCUUUUGGUGAGGAGGCUGAGUUGGGUGAAGAGGUAACCAAACAAUUUAUGCAAGAAAAUUCUGGUAAAGCAAAAUCAAUAAAUGAUGUUGUAGAUGAUUCCAAACCAAGCUCGGAUGCAUCUGUAUUGAAAAGACAAAUAUUAGUUCCGAUGAUGAAGAAGCAUUAGAAGAAGAGCGUCGACUAGUACGCAUAAAAAAGAACCUGUGGAUGACGAAGAUGUAGAGGGACGUAAGCAGCGCAUAAAAGAUAAAUGACAACCAAAAUUGAGCGAAACUAAAAAAAGUGUCUAAAAUUGAGUCCAUGAGUAUAAAAUAUGAAACAUUGGACUCUGUGAGGACGAGCUAUUGACUCAAAAACAGAAGCUUUAAAUUAAAAAAAAAAAAAGAAAAGUGCAAGCUGAAAUUGCGGUGGAUUUUUAAUUUUGGAUGUUAUAAUUUUAUGAACUUCGUUUGUUCAUUUAGAAAUGAAAUACCGAAGGAAAUACUCAACCUCCAAAAGAAAUAUCAAACAAACGAAUACCCGAGAAGGGUCCUGUUGUUGAGUUAAGGGCCAACGCUGAUGAGAGCGAAUUCAUUAAGAAUUUCAUCGAGAAAAAAGAAAAUAUUAAAUUAUCGCUAUUUGAAAUUUAGCAGUGUGUGCUAGUCGAUUCUAACAUAACCUAUGUAAACGUCGUAAACUAAUCUUAGACGUACCAGAUGGUAAACAAACUGCUCCGACACAUUAGAGAUUUUGUUUAGAAUCAUAUACUUUUUUUUUUGUGAAAAUGUCUGAUUUUGUGCCGAAUAAUCGGCAUUUGCGGGAAGUGUUGAUUUUCCACUUUCAUUCGAAAAAAAAAACGGCGGCUAAAGCGCAUCGAGAGCUACAAAAAGUUUAUGGAAAUGCUACUUUAAGUGAAACAACGUGCCGAGUUUGGUUCCGUCGCUUCAAAGACGGUGAUUUUAAUGUUGACGACCGUCCGCGUGAAGAAAGGCCAAAAGCCUUCGAAGACGCUGAAUUGGAGGCAUUGCUCGAUGAGGAUCCGUGUCAAACGUAAGAAGAGCUUGCUUCAGUAUUAGGAGUUACCCGCCAAUCCAUUUCCAAGCGAUUGCAUGCUUUGGGAAUGAUUCAGAAACAGCGAACUUGGGUUCCUUAUGAGUUAAAACCAAGGGAUGUUGAACGUCGAAUGUCGUUUUUUCGCCUGUGAACAACUGCUCCAGCGGCAAGGAAAGGAAAAGGAAGGGGUUUCUUCGUCGCAUCGUGACGGGUGAUGAAAAAUGGAUUCAUUAAAGCAAUCCCAAACAAAAGAAAGUCAUGGGGACUGCCAGGUCAUGCUUCUACGUCGUCGCCUCAGCCGAAAAUUCACGCUACGAAUGUUAUUCUAUGUAUUUGGUUUUAUUUAUUAUGAACUGUUAAAAAAAAGCGCAAGAAACGGCCGCAAUAUGCGGAGAGGCAUGAAAAAGUGAUUCUACAGCAUGACAACGCUCGUCUUGACGUUGCCAAACCAGUUAAAACCUACCUGGAAACACGGAAAUGGGAAAUCCUGCCCCACCCGCCAUAUUCUCCAGGUAAUGCGCCGUCCGAUUAUCACCUGUUCCGAUCGAUGGCACAUGGUCAUGACAAGCAGUUCCAUUCAUAUGAAGACAUCAAAUAAUGGCUUGAUUCGUGGAUAGGCUCAAAAGAUGACCAUUUUUACCGCGACGGUAUACAAGAUCUACCAUAAAGAUGUGAAAAAGUUGUAGCCAGCGAUCGGCAAUACUUUUAAGGAUUCACUUGUAACCAUUUUUUCAGAAUAAAGUUGCAUUUUCAUCAUCAUUUAAUAAUAACGGUUUAUAAUCGAAAAUCCCCAAAAAAGGUGGUAGUCGAGAGUAUUUCUGUAUCUCAGUUGGUGAUUA
Molecule: long non-coding RNA, 3335 nt
Organism: Anastrepha ludens (Mexican fruit fly)
Lineage: Eukaryota; Metazoa; Arthropoda; Insecta; Diptera; Tephritidae
Exons: 3
Source: RefSeq, a predicted model, not a curated record